Molecule: ribosomal RNA, 531 nt
Filed under: uncultured eukaryote
Lineage: Eukaryota
Description: SSU rRNA
Rfam family: Eukaryotic small subunit ribosomal RNA
Source: RNAcentral
UAGUCAUAUGCUUGUCUCAAAGAUAAGCCAUGCAUGUCUAAGCACAAGCCGAUUAAUGGUGAAGCCGCGAAUGGCUCAUUACAACAGCCAUAGUUUCUUAGAUCUUACUUUUCUACUUGGAUAACUGUGGUAAUUCUAGAGCUAAUACACGCAAACAAGCUCAGACCUUACGGAAUGAGCGCAUUUAUUAGAACAAAAACCAAUCGGACUUUCGGGUCCGUCAUUUGGUGAAUCUGAAUAACUUUGCUGAUCGCACGGUCAUCGUACCGGCGACAUAUCUUUCAAAUGUCUGCCUUAUCAACUUUCGAUGGUAGUUUAUGCGCCUACCAUGGUUGUAACGGGUAACGGAGAAUAAGGGUUCGACUCCGGAGAGGGAGCCUGAGAAACGGCUACCACAUCCAAGGAAGGCAGCAGGCACGCAAAUUACCCACUCCCGGCACGGGGAGGUAGUGACGAAAAAUAACGAGACGGCUCGCUAUGCGGUCCGUCAUCGGAAUGGGUACAAUUUAAAUCCUUUAACGAGGAUCUAUU